UACGGGGGGAGCAAGCGUUGUUCGGAUUUACUGGGCGUAAAGGGCGCGUAGGCGGCCACCGCAAGUCGACUGUGAAAUCUCCGGGCUUAACCCGGAAAGGUCAGCCGAUACUGCGGGGCUAGAGUGCAGAAGGGGCAACUGGAAUUCGUCGGUGGUAGCGGUGAAAUGCGUAGAUAUCGAGAGGAACACCUGCGGCGAAGGCGGGUUGCUGGGCUGACACGUGACGCUGAAGCGCGAAAGCUAGGGGAGCGAACGGG
This 257-nucleotide ribosomal RNA is filed under the name uncultured bacterium. Its description in RNAcentral is "partial 16S ribosomal RNA". It matches the Rfam family "Bacterial small subunit ribosomal RNA", at positions 524 to 776 of the family's 1533-position model. The record is from RNAcentral.